RNAcentral lists this ribosomal RNA (480 nucleotides) under uncultured bacterium. RNAcentral describes it as "partial 16S ribosomal RNA". It matches the Rfam family "Bacterial small subunit ribosomal RNA", at positions 28 to 523 of the family's 1533-position model. The record is from RNAcentral.
GACGAACGCUGGCGGCGUGCCUAACACAUGCAAGUCGAGCGAGUGAAUCUCCUUCGGGAGUGAAGCUAGCGGCGGACGGGUGAGUAACACGUGGGCAACCUGCCUCAUAGAGGGGAAUAGCCUUCCGAAAGGAAGAUUAAUACCGCAUAAGAUUGUAGCUUCGCAUCAAGUAGCAAUUAAAGGAGCAAUCCGCUAUGAGAUGGGACCGCGGCGCAUUAGCUAAUUGGUGAGGUAACGGCUCACCAAGGCGACGAUGCGUAGCCGACCUGAGAGGGUGAUCGGCCACAUUGGGACUGAGACACGGCCCAGACUCCUACGGGAGGCAGCAGUGGGGAAUAUUGCACAAUGGGGGAAACCCUGAUGCAGCAACGCCGCGUGGGUGAUGACGGCCUUCGGGUUGUAAAGCUCUGUCUUCAGGGACGAUAAUGACGGUACCUGAGGAGGAAGCCACGGCUAACUACGUGCCAGCAGCCGCCGUAA